This 541-nucleotide ribosomal RNA is filed under the name uncultured bacterium. Its description in RNAcentral is "partial 16S ribosomal RNA". It matches the Rfam family "Bacterial small subunit ribosomal RNA", at positions 355 to 888 of the family's 1533-position model. The record is from RNAcentral.
UGGGGAAUUUUGGACAAUGGGCGAAAGCCUGAUCCAGCAAUGCCGCGUGUGUGAAGAAGGCCUUCGGGUUGUAAAGCACUUUUGUCCGGAAAGAAAUCCUUGGCUCUAAUACAGUCGGGGGAUGACGGUACCGGAAGAAUAAGCACCGGCUAACUACGUGCCAGCAGCCGCGGUAAUACGUAGGGUGCAAGCGUUAAUCGGAAUUACUGGGCGUAAAGCGUGCGCAGGCGGUUUGCUAAGACCGAUGUGAAAUCCCCGGGCUCAACCUGGGAACUGCAUUGGUGACUGGCAGGCUAGAGUAUGGCAGAGGGGGGUAGAAUUCCACGUGUAGCAGUGAAAUGCGUAGAGAUGUGGAGGAAUACCGAUGGCGAAGGCAGCCCCCUGGGCCAAUACUGACGCUCAUGCACGAAAGCGUGGGGAGCAAACAGGAUUAGAUACCCUGGUAGUCCACGCCCUAAACGAUGUCAACUAGUUGUUGGGGAUUCAUUUCCUUAGUAACGUAGCUAACGCGUGAAGUUGACCGCCUGGGGGAGUACGGUCG